GACGAACGCUGGCGGCGUGCUUAACACAUGCAAGUCGAACGGAAAGGCCCUUCGGGGUACUCGAGUGGCGAACGGGUGAGUAACACGUGGGUGAUCUGCCCUGCACUUUGGGAUAAGCCUGGGAAACUGGGUCUAAUACCGAAUAGGACCACGCGCUUCAUGGUGUGUGGUGGAAAGCUUUUGCGGUGUGGGAUGGGCCGGCGGCCUAUCAGCUUGUUGGUGGGGUAAUGGCGUACCAAGGCGACGACGGGUAGCCGGCCUGAGAGGGUGACCGGCCACACUGGGACUAAGAUACGGACCAGACUCCAACGGGAGGCAGCAGUGGGGAAUAUUGCACAAUGGGCGCAAGCCUGAUGCAGAGACGCCGCGUGAGGGAUGACGGCCUUCGGGUUGUAAACCUCUUUCAAUAGGGACGAAGCGCAAGUGACGGUACCUAUAGAAGAAGCACCGGCCAACUACGUG
RNAcentral lists this ribosomal RNA (462 nucleotides) under uncultured bacterium. RNAcentral describes it as "partial 16S ribosomal RNA". It matches the Rfam family "Bacterial small subunit ribosomal RNA", at positions 28 to 507 of the family's 1533-position model. The record is from RNAcentral.